RNAcentral lists this ribosomal RNA (441 nucleotides) under uncultured bacterium. RNAcentral describes it as "partial 16S ribosomal RNA". It matches the Rfam family "Bacterial small subunit ribosomal RNA", at positions 338 to 795 of the family's 1533-position model. The record is from RNAcentral.
CCUACGGGGCGCAGCAGUGGGGGAUAUUGCACAAUGGGGGAAACCCUGAUGCAGCGACGCCGCGUGGGUGAAGAAGUAUUUCGGUAUGUAAAGCCCUAUCAGCAGGGAAGAAAGAAGACGGUACCUGACUAAGAAGCCCCGGCUAACUACGUGCCAGCAGCCGCGGUAAUACGUAGGGGGCGAGCGUUAUCCGGAUUCACUGGGUGUAAAGGGAGCGUAGACGGCCGUGCAAGCCAGGAGUGAAAGCCCGGGGCCCAACCCCGGGACUGCUCUUGGAACUGUGCGGCUGGAGUGCGGGAGGGGCAGGCGGAAUUCCUGGUGUAGCGGUGAAAUGCGUAGAUAUCAGGAGGAACACCGGCGGCGAAGGCGGCCUGCUGGACCGCGACUGACGUUGAGGCUCGAAAGCGUGGGGAGCGAACAGGAUUAGAUACCCUAGUAGUC